CAGGAAUGUUCCCGGCACUACACUUACAUGGGCCCUGCUCGAACUUCUCUCUCUCUGCCCUAUUUGCUUGCACACAGUCUAUUUCUGCCACAGACACUCUCCAAAGUGUCUCCCAACGCUGCCUCCUCUCCUGUUCCCCGCCCCUGCCGCUCCCUCCAGAAGAGAGGAACAGCCCUAGGAAACCCUCACAGCUGGAAGGGACAAGGGAAGAUGGCAAUGAGUUUAUGCAGCCUACACACACACACACACCACACACAGACACACACACCACACACACACACCACAUACAGACACACCACAUAUACACACACCACACACACACCACACACACACACACACACACACCACACACACACCCCAUAUAUACACACACCACACACGCACAUCAUACACACACCACACACAUACCACAUAUACACACACCACACACACACACACCACACACACACACACACCACAUACAUACCACAUAUACACACACCACACACACACCACACACACACACCAUAUAUACACACACCACACACGCACAUCAUACACACACCACACACAUACCACAUAUACACACACCACACACACCACACACACACACACCACACACACACCUCAUAUACACACACCACACACAUCACACACACACCACAUAUACAUACCACAUAUACACACACCAUACACAUCACACACACACCACAUAUACACAUACCACACACACCACACACACACACCCCACACACAUACCACACACCACAUACACCACACACACACACACCAUAUAUACACAACCACACACGCACAUCAUACACACACCACACACAUACCACAUAUACACACACCACACACACAUCACACACACACCACACACACACACACCACACACACACCUCAUAUACACACACCACACACAUCACACACACACCACAUAUACACACCACAUAUACACACACCAUACACAUCACACACACACCACAUAUACACAUACCACACACACAUACACACACCACACACACACACCACACACAUACCACACACACACAUACACCACACACACCACAUACACCACACACACACACAUGCACCACAAACACAUACACCACACACACACACACACACACACACACACACACACAUACUAUGUUCUGCUUUCCAUGGCGUGAGGUUGGCUGUGGCUGGAUCAGCUCGGUUUUCUGAGGUGGUUAACCAAGAGUCUGCAACACUUCCCCCCUCGAUUUAAAUUCAAGAGGAGCAAACAAGCACUCCCUUUGGAGACAAAGAGUGGAGAGCUGACACUGAUGCAGAACAGCAGGCUUCUGAACCAAGGCGGGUGGUGGGUGUCUCCCUGAGCCUGCCAGAGGACACUUUUCCAUCUUGAGGCUGAGUUUCAAGCUUUUUUUCUCUUCUAAAUUGGUAUUUAUUUAUUUGGCUGUGCCAGGUCUUAGUUGCUGCAGGCAGGCUCUAGUUCUCUGACCAUAAUGGAACCCAGGUCCCCGGCAUUGGGAGCACAGAGUCUUAGCCACUGGACCACCAGGGAAGUUCCUCUAAGCAUCAUUAGCAUGUCUAAUGGAAUUAUUAGCAUUCCUCUA
This is a long non-coding RNA of Bos indicus x Bos taurus (hybrid cattle), 1580 nucleotides long. Lineage: Eukaryota; Metazoa; Chordata; Mammalia; Artiodactyla; Bovidae. The record is from Ensembl.